RNAcentral lists this ribosomal RNA (1946 nucleotides) under human gut metagenome. RNAcentral describes it as "bacterial LSU rRNA". It matches the Rfam family "Bacterial large subunit ribosomal RNA", at positions 1 to 1984 of the family's 2925-position model. The record is from RNAcentral.
UUAUGCUGAUAAGAGCGUAUGGUGGAUGCCUUGGCACUAAGAGCCGAUGAAAGACGUGAUAAGCUGCGAAAAGCUUCGGGGAGGAGCAAAUAUCCUUUGAUCCGGAGAUAUCUGAAUGGGGAAACCCGGCUGAGAAGACCUCAGUCACUGUAUGGUAAAUCCAUAGCCAUACAGAGGGAACCCGGUGAACUGAAACAUCUAAGUAGCCGGAGGAAGAGAAAGAAACAUCGAUUCCGGAAGUAGCGGCGAGCGAACCCGGAAGAGCCCAAACCAGCGUGCGUGCAUGCUGGGGUUAAGGACUGCAUAAGUGAGCCGAUCUGUUAAUGGAACUGCCUGGGAAGGCAGGCCAGAGAGGGUGAAAGCCCCGUACAUGAAAACGGUAGGCAGCGGCAGGAUCCAGAGUACCGCGAGACACGAGAAACCUUGCGGGAAGUCGGAGGGACCACCCUCCAAGGCUAAAUACUCCUUAGUGACCGAUAGCGCAUAGUACUGUGAAGGAAAGGUGAAAAGGACCCCGGGAGGGGAGUGAAAGAGAACCUGAAACCCUGUGUUUACAAGCUGUGGGAGCACGUUAAGGUGCAACCGCGUACUUUUUGUAGAACGGUCCGGCGAGUUGCCGGUGCUGGCAAGGUUAAAUGGUACAGCCAUGGAGCCGAAGGGAAACCAAGUCUCAAAUGGGCGUAAAGUCAGCACAGGCAGACCCGAAACCGGGUGACCUAUCCAUGUCCAGGAUGAAGCGGAAGUAAAAUUCCGUGGAGGUCCGGAUCCACAUCCGUUGAAAAGGGUGGGAAUGAGGUGUGGAUAGGGGAGAAAUUCCAAUCGAACCCGGAGAUAGCUGGUUCUCCUCGAAAUAGCUUUAGGGCUAGCCCCGUAUUAGUUUAGCGGAGGUAGAGCACUGAAUUCCUAAGGGGGCGUCAAAGCUUACCAAGGGAUAUCAAACUCCGAAUGCCGCAUAAAUGAUGUACGGGAGUCAGACUGCACGAGAUAAGUUGGGCAGUCAAAAGGGAAAGAGCCCAGACCUACAGCUAAGGUCCCAAAGUGUGUGUUAAGUGGAAAAGGAUGUGGGAUUUCAGAGACAACUAGGAUGUUGGCUUAGAAGCAGCCACACAUUCAAAGAGUGCGUAAUAGCUCACUAGUCGAGAGGUCCUGCGCCGAAAAUGUCCGGGGCUGAAACACAACACCGAAGCUUAGGAAUGUAGUAAUACAUUGGUAGAGGAGCAUUCUUAAAGGAAUGAAGCAGUACCGAUAAGGAGCUGUGGACUUUUAAGAAGAGAGAAUGCCGGAAUGAGUAGCGAGAUGGAGGUGGGAAUCCUCCAGGCCGAAUAUCCAAGGUUUCCAGAGUAAAGCUGAUCUGCUCUGGGUAAGUCGGGGCCUAAGGUAAGGCUGAGAAGCGUAGCCGAUGGACAACAGGUUGAGAUUCCUGUACCGCGUAUCAUCAGAACUGUGGGGACACAGAAGGACAGCACAUCCCGGGAAUGGAAAGACCGGGGCAAGCAGGGUAGGAGUUAAGCUGGCAAAUCCGCUUAACAAUCCGAAGCUGUGAUGCGGAGCGAAUUUAAGUAGUGAAGUGUGCGAUUCCGGCUGUCAAGAAAAGCCGCUAUUGUGUGAUACGUGCCCGUACCGUAAACCGACACAGGUAGAUGAGGAGAGAAUCCUAAGGCCGGCGGGAGAAGCAUUGUUAAGGAACUCGGCAAAAUGACCCUGUAACUUCGGGAGAAAGGGUGCCUGGGAAACCAGGCCGCAGAGAAUAGGCUCAAGCAACUGUUUAGCAAAAACACAGGUCUAUGCAAAACCGUAAGGUGAGGUAUAUGGGCUGACGCCUGCCCGGUGCUGGAAGGUUAAGAGGAGGGGUUAGCGCAAGCGAAGCUCUGAAUUGAAGCCCCAGUAAACGGCGGCCGUAACUAUAACGGUCCUAAGGUAGCGAAAUUCCUUGUCGGGUAAGUUCC